UAGUCCACGCCGUAAACGAUGAUUACUAGGUGCUCGAAGUGUUAACUCUUUGGGUACCGGAGCUCACGCAUUAAGUAAUCCGCCUGGGGAGUACGGUCGCAAGGCUAAAACUCAAAGGAAUUGACGGGGGCCCGCACAAGCGGUGGAGUAUGUGGUUUAAUUCGAAGCAACGCGCAGAACCUUACCUGGACUUAACAUUCACCGACAACUCCAGAGAUGGAGCUUUCCCUUCGGGGACGGUGGGAUAGGUGCUGCAUGGCUGUCGUCAGCUCGUGUCGUAAGAUGUUGGGUUGAGUCCCGCAACGAGCGCAACCCUUGUCUUUAGUUGCCAUCAUUUAGUUGGGCACUCUAGAGAAACUGCCGGUGACAAACCGGAGGAAGGUGGGGAUGACGUCAAGUCCUCAUGGCCCUUACGGGUAGGGCUACACACGUGCUACAAUGGCGCUGACAGAGGGUUAAUCCCUAAAAGGCGUCUCAGUUCGGAUUGUCUUCUGCAACUCGAAGACAUGAAGUUGGAAUCG
RNAcentral lists this ribosomal RNA (521 nucleotides) under uncultured bacterium. RNAcentral describes it as "bacterial SSU rRNA". It matches the Rfam family "Bacterial small subunit ribosomal RNA", at positions 791 to 1334 of the family's 1533-position model. The record is from RNAcentral.